AGACUUGGGUAAGCCGGCAUCGGUGAGCAUCCUCUGAGCAUACAGUGCCCAGGCAAAUAGGCCAACAGGGAGGACAGUGCCCCCACUAUGAGAUUUCGACGCCUGACUCCUGGCUACUUCCGGGUGCUACAGGUGGCUCCUGCUAUGCAGUAUGGAAGAUGGUGAAGCAGCGGCAACCAUCACAGGCCCCGUGAUGAGGCGGGUAGCCUCUCGCCCAGGCUUGGAGGGUUCGACACUCAGCUGCUUCAGCCUGGGAAAAAGAAGAGUUGGAGAUCGGAGCUCACCGAGUGCAAACCCUUCCUGCAUGGCACCCAUCCGCCAGUCCUCUACUGACCCCUCCAUACCUUUUCUUGUGGUCUUUGGAUCGGAAAUGGGUCUUCAGGUUGGCUGAAUCGAUGAAGUACCUCCUGCAGGAAUGUAGGGCUGGACUCACGCGCAAGCCAGACAGCGAUGCAGGCCGCCCCCUGGCAGGUCCGGGUCGGGCUCCGCGUCCGGCUCCGGCUUGGGCCGCGGGAGCCCCUGCGGCCUCAGCUCGCGAUGAAUCUCAUCCAGGUCCGGCCGCCGCUUCUUGGCCUUCAUCUGGCGGGCUAAGGAAUGUGCUCGGUGCGCGCCGGUCCGCCGAGAGCGACCCAUGAUCAGAGAGACACCCACACACAAGACCAAGAAACAGGGAGUAGGGAAAAGACCCACACGUGUUGGCGCUUCCGGGCCGCCCAGUGACGUCACGAGAGGCCCGCCCGGGGGCGGAGCAGGAUUGGACAGACUGCCUCUGAUGACGUCACGGUCGGGUUGGCCGUUUGAGCGCCCCCAGAUGGUCGUCGAUGAUAGUGACUGGGCUCUCGCGGGGCGUGAGCGGGCUUGAGGGGAGCCGGUCCCACUAUUCUGCCCGCCCCAUCCUCACUUGCCGGUUUCCACACCCCGAAUUUCAGUGGUAGGGGAUGCUUUUAACGUCUCUGGAAGCACUGUUGCUUGUGCCAUGAAUAAAUUACUUCAUAAAUGAGAA
This is a long non-coding RNA of Mus musculus (house mouse), 1003 nucleotides long. RefSeq annotates it as Zfp593 opposite strand. The record is from RefSeq and is marked validated. The transcript has 5 exons. Lineage: Eukaryota; Metazoa; Chordata; Mammalia; Rodentia; Muridae.